GGAGGGUGGAUCUCCCGGGCGCCCGGGCCAGGCUGGGAGGGGAGCAGCGCCACGGGCAGGUCUUCCCACCCCAACUCCCAGGCAGGGGACGCGGGCCGGGCGCGGGAGCUCUGGGCGCCUUCCGCCCCGUGGGCUCACCUGGUAGAUCAUGACUUUAAAGUUGCGGCGCCGCAGCAGCUCGGCCUCGUUGACCUCCAGCUUCUUGAUCUGCCCCGCCUGGCGCUCCAGGCUGCCGCGCACGGUCUUCACGUUGACGCUGACCUUGCGCACCUUCUCCAGCAGCUUGCUCACCGUAUUGCUCGUGGUAGCGUGCGCCUUGCCCAGCUUGCUCAGCUCGCCCUGGAUGCUCUGCACUGCGCCCUCCAUCUCCGCCUGCCGCUCCUCCAGCUGUGCUUGGGUCAGCUGGAUCUGGUCUACGGCCCCGAUGAUUUUGUCCAGGAGGCUCAGCACCAGCACGCCGUUCACCUGGUCCGACUUGAUCAGCUCUUCUGAACCGGCCCCCGACGGCUCCUCCGCCGCCUGAGCCCCAGCGGAAGAAGGCUCCGGGGCCUCGGCGUCGGAGUACCCGGGAAGCGGCCGCUCGACAAUGUAGAGCGUGGGGUCCUCCAUGGCUACCCGGAGCCGUGCGGGGCCGGCCGGGUGGAGCUGGAGCUGGAGCGGGAGACCCGGAGAGAAGCAGAAGCGGAAGGGGGGAGAGCGAGCGGGAGAGAGCGGAGAGCAGAGGAAACUCGAGCCACGUCCGUGCGCACCGGGACAGCGGCCAGAACUGCUGGGCGGGGGAUCGAACUCGUGUUCAAAGAGACUGUUUCUGUUAAACCUAUUUUGUUGCACAAGAGAAGAGCCCCUUCCUUUCAACUUUCCAGUUGGAACCAAGACCAGAGCUUUCAAACAAGCCACUCUCAGUAAACGCAAAACAGGAACUGUGUGUCCCAGGCUGGUCUCAAAAUCUUGAGCUCAAGUGAUCUUCCUGACCCAGCCUCCCAAAUCGCUGGGAUUACAGGUGUGAGCCACCAUGCCUGGCCUGAAAAUAGAAUAUUUGGAAAUAAAAUGAUAAAUUCAAUAAAUGAAAUCCUCAAGAUUGGAGGAGACCCUAAACUGAAUGAAAGCAGAAAUUAACUCAUGUUACAAAUGAACAACAAGACUGUACUGAAGGAGAAGUGGUAUGGGAAUAGCAAUUAUGAAAUUAUAUUGUACAUAUUAUAGAAUUAAGCAAAUGACAUAUAAAAGAAGGUGGAAGCUAGAGUUCUCAUUGCAGGAAAAAAGUAGAUUUAAAUACAAAUUAGGGAAUACAAAGGAAUCUUAGAUGGGUGGAACUGGCGUUAGAGGCAUCAGUAUAAACCCAUAAUUUCAUAUACAUCUGUAGAGAUAAGAGCUAGAGGUUUGGCCUCUGUGUGUUGAAGGCUUAGAAGCAAUAACACAAUGUAACAAUGAGCAAGCUUGGUACCAAGAUCUUGGUUUCUAAAUAUUGUUCCUCACAACAAAGAAACAACUUAGAGAAAUGGAUGACUUUAGGGCUGGAACAGGGAAAGUAUAAGCUAAGCUUAAAAUAUCCUGUUGUGAUAGAAAUUAAGGAAGUCCCCUGCCACCCUCAACACCCCAGCAAAAUGAUGGGAAUAUGUCAAAAAACACAGGAGGAAGUUCCAUUUCCAAUUAUGGCUGAGUAAUUCCCAUCAUACCAAGUCUUCUGUAAAUAAGAACGAUAUACUGAGAGCAAAAUAUUAAAGAACAAACAAACAAAAACUACCUGAAGGCAUUAGCAAACAACAGGAGGAAUAUACUGCACAGAGGUGGAUACCUGGAAGAGAAGAGGACUGAAUGGGUUUCCCAUGUUUUACAGCUUUUAGUCUAAGGGAAGUCCAAAGUCUGCAAAGUGAGUGGUUAAAACAAAGCUGGGGGUAGUGGUGUGCGCCUGUAGUCCCACCUACUCAGAAGGCUGACGUGGGAGGAAACCCUGAGCCCAGGAGUUCAAGGCUGUAGAGCACUAAGAUUGUGCCUGUGAAUACCCACUGUAUUCCCAUCCAGGCAACACAGUAAGACCUCAUCUCUUUUUUUUUUUUUUUGAGACAGAGUUUCACUCUGCUGCUCAGGCUGGAGUACAGUGGCGUGAUCUCAGCUCACAGCAACCUCUGCCUCCCAGCAACCUCUGCUUCCCGGGUUCAAGUGAUUCUCCUGCCUCGGUCUCCUGAGUAGCUGGGACUACAGCUAUUUUUAGUAGAGACAGGGUUUCACCAUGCUUCCCGGGCUGGUCUUGAACUCCUGACCUCAGGUGAUCUGCCGGUUUCAGCCUCCCAAAGUGCUGGGAUUACAGGCGUGAACCACUGUGCCCGAGAUCUUAUCUCUUAAAACGACAACAACAUCAACAAAAACAAAACAACAAAAACCCAAACCCCGCAGUUUUAAAGCUUGAAUUGUUCAGGGCAACCCCAGCAGGUGGAAAUAAUGGGAGGAAAUCCUAUCAAAAUAAGAGCCACAGAGAGGGAGGCUCAAAUUCUGUGCAUAAACUAUAGUCCCAGCUACUCGGGAGUCCCAGUACCUGUAGUCCCAGCUACUUGGGAGGUUGAGGUGGGAGGCUCGCUUAAGCCCAGGAAGUCAAGGCUGUAGUGAGCUGUGAUGAUGCCACUGCACGCCAGCCUGGGUGACAAAGUGAGACCCUGUCUCAAAAAAAAAAAAAUAAAUAAAUUCAGAACUUUAAAAAAUCACCCUGAAAAGAAACCCCAUGCCCUUUUAUUAUUUUUUUCACUUUUUUGACUUUAUUAUUUUUUCUUUAAAACAAUAUUUAUUCUUUUUUGUUGAGACUGGGUGUCACUAUGUUGCCCAGGCUAGUCUUGAACUCCUGGGCUCAAGCCAUCCUCCUGCCUCAGCCUCCCAAAAUGCUGAGAUUACAGGUGUGAGCCACUGUGUCUGGCCAAGAAACCCCAUGCCCUUUAGCCAUCACGUUCCAUUCUCCCCAUCACCCCAGCCCUAGGCAUUAAUAAUCUACUUUUUGCCUCUAUAGAUUUGUCUACUCUAGACAUAUCAUAUAAAUGCAAUCAUAUAUGUGGUCUUUUUUGACUGACUUCUUUCACUUGGUAUGUUUUCAAGGUUUAUGUUGUAACAUGUAUCAUUACUUCAUCCCUUUUUAUUGCUGAGUAACAUCUCAUUGUGUGGCUGUACUACAUUUUCUUUAUCCAUUCAUCCAUUGUUGAACAUCUGGGUUGUUUCCAAUUUUGGGCUAUUGUGUAUAAUGCUGUUAUGAACAUUUGUGUACACGUU
Molecule: long non-coding RNA, 3252 nt
Organism: Pongo pygmaeus (Bornean orangutan)
Lineage: Eukaryota; Metazoa; Chordata; Mammalia; Primates; Hominidae
Exons: 3
Source: RefSeq, a predicted model, not a curated record